This 1451-nucleotide ribosomal RNA is filed under the name Enterobacter asburiae. Its description in RNAcentral is "bacterial SSU rRNA". It matches the Rfam family "Bacterial small subunit ribosomal RNA". The record is from RNAcentral. Lineage: Bacteria; Pseudomonadati; Pseudomonadota; Gammaproteobacteria; Enterobacterales; Enterobacteriaceae.
GAUUGAGGCGUGCAGGCCUAACACAUGCAAGUCGAGCGGUAGCACAGAGAGCUUGCUCUCGGGUGACGAGCGGCGGACGGGUGAGUAAUGUCUGGGAAACUGCCUGAUGGAGGGGGAUAACUACUGGAAACGGUAGCUAAUACCGCAUAACGUCGCAAGACCAAAGAGGGGGACCUUCGGGCCUCUUGCCAUCAGAUGUGCCCAGAUGGGAUUAGCUAGUAGGUGGGGUAACGGCUCACCUAGGCGACGAUCCCUAGCUGGUCUGAGAGGAUGACCAGCCACACUGGAACUGAGACACGGUCCAGACUCCUACGGGAGGCAGCAGUGGGGAAUAUUGCACAAUGGGCGCAAGCCUGAUGCAGCCAUGCCGCGUGUAUGAAGAAGGCCUUCGGGUUGUAAAGUACUUUCAGCGGGGAGGAAGGCGUUGAGGUUAAUAACCUCAUCGAUUGACGUUACCCGCAGAAGAAGCACCGGCUAACUCCGUGCCAGCAGCCGCGGUAAUACGGAGGGUGCAAGCGUUAAUCGGAAUUACUGGGCGUAAAGCGCACGCAGGCGGUCUGUCAAGUCGGAUGUGAAAUCCCCGGGCUCAACCUGGGAACUGCAUUCGAAACUGGCAGGCUAGAGUCUUGUAGAGGGGGGUAGAAUUCCAGGUGUAGCGGUGAAAUGCGUAGAGAUCUCCAGGAAUACGGUGGCGAAGCGGCCCCUGGACAAGACUGACGCUCAGUGCGAAAGCGUGGGGAGCAAACAGGAUUAGAUACCCUGGUAGUCCACGCCGUAACGAUGUCGACUGAGUUGUGCCCUUGAGCGUGCUUCCGAGCUAACGCGUAAGUCGACGCUGGGGAGUACGCCGCAAGUAAAACUCAAAUGAUGACGGGGGCCCGCACAGCGUGGAGCAUGUGGUUUAAUCGAUGCAACGCGAGAAACUACUACUCUGGACAUCAGAGAACUUCAAGAAUGGAUUGGUGCAUCGGAACUCUGAAACGGUCUGCAUGCUGUCGUCAGCUCGUGUUGUGAAAUGUUGGGUUAAGUCCCGCAACGAGCGCAACCCUUAUCCUUUGUUGCCAGCGGUCCGGCCGGGAACUCAAAGGAGACUGCCAGUGAUAAACUGGAGGAAGGUGGGGAUGACGUCAAGUCAUCAUGGCCCUUACGAGUAGGGCUACACACGUGCUACAAUGGCGCAUACAAAGAGAAGCGACCUCGCGAGAGCAAGCGGACCUCAUAAAGUGCGUCGUAGUCCGGAUUGGAGUCUGCAACUCGACUCCAUGAAGUCGGAAUCGCUAGUAAUCGUAGAUCAGAAUGCUACGGUGAAUACGUUCCCGGGCCUUGUACACACCGCCCGUCACACCAUGGGAGUGGGUUGCAAAAGAAGUAGUAGCUUAACCCUUCGGGAGGGCGCUACCACUUUGUGAUUCAUGACUGGGGUGAAGUCGUACAGGGUUAGCUCGUAACGU